Molecule: transfer RNA, 66 nt
Filed under: Sphaeronemoura acutispina
Lineage: Eukaryota; Metazoa; Arthropoda; Insecta; Plecoptera; Nemouridae
Description: tRNA-Glu
Rfam family: tRNA
About the family: Transfer RNA (tRNA) molecules are approximately 80 nucleotides in length.
Source: RNAcentral
AUUUAUAUAGUUUAAGUAAAACAUUACAUUUUCACUGUAAAAAUAAAAAUUUAUUUUUUAUAAAUA